Molecule: ribosomal RNA, 481 nt
Filed under: uncultured bacterium
Lineage: Bacteria
Description: SSU rRNA
Rfam family: Bacterial small subunit ribosomal RNA
Source: RNAcentral
AGGACGAACGCUGGCGGCGUGCCUAACACAUGCAAGUGGAGCGACGAACCAGGCUUCGGCCUGGGGCAGAGCCGCGAACGGGUGAGUAACACGUGGGUAACCUGCCCUGAUGAUUGGGACAACCCGAGGAAGCUCGGGCUAAUACCGAAUGUGCCCUCCGGCCUCAAGGCCGCUGGGAAAGGAAGCUUCGGCCUCCGCAUCGGGACGGGCCCGCGGCCCAUUAGCUUGUUGGUGAGGUAACGGCUCACCAAGGCAACGAUGGGUAGCUGGUCUGAGAGGAUGAUCAGCCAGACUGGGACUGAGAACGGCCCAGACUCCUACGGGAGGCAGCAGUAGGGAAUUUUCCACAAUGGGCGAAAGCCUGAUGGAGCAAACGCCGCGUGCAGGACGAAGGCUUUCGGGUCGUAAACUGCUUUUAUAUGUGACGAUUAUGACGGUAGCAUAUGAAUUAAGGAUCGGCUAAACUCGUGCCAGCAGCCGC